UGGGGAAUUUUGGACAAUGGGCGAAAGCCUGAUCCAGCAAUGCCGCGUGUGUGAAGAAGGCCUUCGGGUUGUAAAGCACUUUUGUCCGGAAAGAAAUCCUCUGGGUUAAUACCUCGGGGGGAUGACGGUACCGGAAGAAUAAGCACCGGCUAACUACGUGCCAGCAGCCGCGGUAAUACGUAGGGUGCAAGCGUUAAUCGGAAUUACUGGGCGUAAAGCGUGCGCAGGCGGUUUUGUAAGACGGAUGUGAAAUCCCCGGGCUCAACCUGGGAACUGCAUUGGUGACUGGCAGGCUAGAGUAUGGCAGAGGGGGGUAGAAUUCCACGUGUAGCAGUGAAAUGCGUAGAGAUGUGGAGGAAUACCGAUGGCGAAGGCAGCCCCCUGGGCCAAUACUGACGCUCAUGCACGAAAGCGUGGGGAGCAAACAGGAUUAGAUACCCUGGUAGUCCACGCCCUAAACGAUGUCAACUAGUUGUUGGGGAUUCAUUUCCUUAGUAACGUAGCUAACGCGUGAAGUUGACCGCCUGGGGAGUACGGUCGCAAGAUUAAAACUCAAAUGAAUUGACGGGGUCAUAGCUGUUUCCU
This 585-nucleotide ribosomal RNA is filed under the name uncultured bacterium. RNAcentral's name for it is "partial 16S ribosomal RNA". It matches the Rfam family "Bacterial small subunit ribosomal RNA", at positions 355 to 1375 of the family's 1533-position model. The record is from RNAcentral.